Molecule: ribosomal RNA, 779 nt
Filed under: uncultured Neocallimastigales
Lineage: Eukaryota; Fungi; Neocallimastigomycota; Neocallimastigomycetes; Neocallimastigales
Description: partial large subunit ribosomal RNA
Rfam family: Eukaryotic large subunit ribosomal RNA
Source: RNAcentral
UAUCUCUGUAGAGUCUGCAUAUCAAUAAGCGGAGGAAAAGAAACUAACUAGGAUUCCCUUAGUAACGGCGAGUGAAGCGGGAAGAGCUCAAAUUUGAAAUCUUCAAGGUUUUACCUUGACGAAUUGUAGUUUAAAGAAGUGUUUUCUGUUGAGUGUUUCGGUAAAAGUUCUUUGGAAUAGGACAUCAUAGAGGGUGAGAAUCCCGUAUUUGACCAUUACUUUCAGCCGUGUGAUACACUUUCAAAGAGUCGGAUUGUUUGGGAAUGCAGUCCAAAAUGGGUGGUAAAUUUCAUCUAAAGCUAAAUAUUGGCGAGAGACCGAUAGCGAACAAGUACCGUGAGGGAAAGAUGAAAAGAACUUUGAAAAGAGAGUUAAACAGUACGUGAAAUUGUCAAAAGGGAAGCGUUUGACACCAGUGUUGUUUUCUCGAAAAUCAAUUAAAAAUGGCAUGAUUUUGUGUUGUAUCGACCUUUAUCAAGCUUUCUUCACUCUUUUCAUUGUCUUUUUUAAUGCACUUUUCGUUUAACAAGUCAACAUCAGUUUCUUUUGUUGUAAAAGGGUCAUUGGAAGGUGGCUUUCUUUUCGGAGAAAGUGUUUAUAGCCUUUGGCCUCUGCAAUCGGAGAGAUUGAGGUCUGCAGCGUAGAUCCUUCUGGAUUAGAUACAUUUGUGCUAAGUUAUAACCGUUUCAUAGACAACUUGGUGACUAUGAUCGAUCAUGUAGCUUACUCGCUUAUGCUAUUUUACCUACGCUUAGGAUGUUGAUAUGCAUGACUGAUAU